AGAGUUUGAUCCUGGCUCAGAUUGAACGCUGGCGGCAUGCCUUACACAUGCAAGUCGAACGGCAGCGCGGGAGCAAUCCUGGCGGCGAGUGGCGAACGGGUGAGUAAUACAUCGGAACGUGUCCUGGAGUGGGGGAUAGCCCGGCGAAAGCCGGAUUAAUACCGCAUACGCUCUGAGGAGGAAAGCGGGGGAUCUUCGGACCUCGCGCUCAAGGGGCGGCCGAUGGCAGAUUAGGUAGUUGGUGGGGUAAAGGCCUACCAAGCCGACGAUCUGUAGCUGGUCUGAGAGGACGACCAGCCACACUGGGACUGAGACACGGCCCAGACUCCUACGGGAGGCAGCAGUGGGGAAUUUUGGACAAUGGGGGCAACCCUGAUCCAGCAAUGCCGCGUGUGUGAAGAAGGCCUUCGGGUUGUAAAGCACUUUUGUCCGGGAAGAAAUCCUUUUCGAUAAUACCGAAGGGGGAUGACGGUACCGGAAGAAUAAGCACCGGCUAACUACGUGCCAGCAGCCGCGGUAAUACGUAGGGUGCGAGCGUUAAUCGGAAUUACUGGGCGUAAAGCGUGCGCAGGCGGUGAUGUAAGACCGAUGUGAAAUCCCCGGGCUUAACCUGGGAACUGCAUUGGUGACUGCAUCGCUGGAGUAUGGCAGAGGGGGGUAGAAUUCCACGUGUAGCAGUGAAAAUGCGUAGAGAUGUGGAGGAAUACCGAUGGCGAAGGCAGCCCCCUGGGCCAAUACUGACGCUCAUGCAC
RNAcentral lists this ribosomal RNA (752 nucleotides) under uncultured Burkholderia sp. RNAcentral's name for it is "bacterial SSU rRNA". It matches the Rfam family "Bacterial small subunit ribosomal RNA", at positions 8 to 754 of the family's 1533-position model. Lineage: Bacteria; Pseudomonadati; Pseudomonadota; Betaproteobacteria; Burkholderiales; Burkholderiaceae. The record is from RNAcentral.